Long non-coding RNA from Acanthopagrus latus (yellowfin seabream), 533 nucleotides. RefSeq lists it as uncharacterized. Lineage: Eukaryota; Metazoa; Chordata; Actinopteri; Spariformes; Sparidae. The record is from RefSeq and is a predicted model, not a curated record. The transcript is spliced from 2 exons.
CACUGAUUUUCGGGGAAUUUCUGGACAAUUUCAAGCUUUUGGACACGUUGAAUGCUGAAUCAGCUUUAUUCUUAUCAAGAAGUUACAGGAACUGAAACAGCCACCAUGGUUCUAUUCAGUCAUAUUAUCUUAAUAGAAAAGCGGUUUCGCUGCUAGCGUAUCCCAUGACCUUCAACAGCAGGCGACAUCGAGGCUGUUGUUAUUUAAUGCAGAUGCUCCAAUUUUCAUUUGAAGGUCUUCUCCGGAUGACUGCCUCUGCUGAUGAAGAUCUUAUGAUUCCAUCAACGGCUCCACUACAGCUGCUGAAUGAACCUCAGAUGAGGCGCAUUUUCAUGCUUAGCACCUUGGCCAGGGAAUAACUUACAAAGAGAUCUUAAAUUAGACGCAUGUAUCUGCACUGAUGACUUUGAUUAGGAAUGUGGUAAAGGUCUAAAAGCUAUAUGAUGCUUAUAGAUGUAACACUGGUAGAAUGCGCCAAAGCACCCUACUGGUGCAUCACACAGGUGUAUUCAAAUAAAGAGAAAAUAAAAAUA